RNAcentral lists this ribosomal RNA (569 nucleotides) under uncultured archaeon. RNAcentral's name for it is "bacterial SSU rRNA". It matches the Rfam family "Archaeal small subunit ribosomal RNA", at positions 348 to 918 of the family's 1478-position model. The record is from RNAcentral.
CUUUGCAAUGUGCGAAAGCACGACAAGGUUAAUCCGAGUGUCUCCUGCUAAAGGAGUCUUUUGUCAGUUGUAGAAUCACUGGUGAAUAAGGGGUGGGCAAGUUCUGGUGUCAGCCGCCGCGGUAAAACCAGCACCUCGAGUGGUCAGGAGGUUUAUUGGGCCUAAAGCAUCCGUAGCCGGUUGCAUAAGUUUUCGGUUAAAUCUAUGCGCUUAACGUAUAGGCCGCCGAAAAUACUGUGCAGCUAGGGAGUGGGAGAGGUACACGGUACUCGAUAGGAAGGGGUAAAAUCCUUUGAUCUAUUGAAGACCACCUGUGGCGAAGGCGGUGUACCAGAACACGUUCGACGGUGAGGGAUGAAAGCUGGGGGAGCAAACCGGAUUAGAUACCCGGGUAGUCCCAGCUGUAAACGAUACAGACUCGGUGAUGCAUUGGCUUGUGGCCAAUGCAGUGCCGCAGGGAAGCCGUUAAGUCUGCCGCCUGGGAAGUAUGUACGCAAGUANUGAAACUUAAAGGAAUUGGCGGGGGAGCACCACAAGGGGUGAAGCCUGCGGUCAAUUGGAGUCACGAC